GGGGCUGUAGCUCAGCUGGGAGAGCGCUUGACUGGCAGUCAAGAGGUAGCGGGUUCGAACCCCGCCAGCUCCACCA
Molecule: transfer RNA, 76 nt
Filed under: Dehalococcoidia bacterium
Lineage: Bacteria; Bacillati; Chloroflexota; Dehalococcoidia
Also listed under: 1 other name
Description: tRNA-Ala
Rfam family: tRNA
About the family: Transfer RNA (tRNA) molecules are approximately 80 nucleotides in length. Their secondary structure includes four short double-helical elements and three loops (D, anti-codon, and T loops).
Source: RNAcentral